AGUGAACGCUGGCGGUAGGCCUAACACAUGCAAGUCGAACGGCAGCACAGUAAGAGCUUGCUCUUACGGGUGGCGAGUGGCGGACGGGUGAGGAAUACAUCGGAAUCUACUUUUUCGUGGGGGAUAACGUAGGGAAACUUACGCUAAUACCGCAUACGACCUACGGGUGAAAGCAGGGGAUCUUCGGACCUUGCGCGAUUGAAUGAGCCGAUGUCGGAUUAGCUAGUUGGCGGGGUAAAGGCCCACCAAGGCGACGAUCCGUAGCUGGUCUGAGAGGAUGAUCAGCAGAACUGGAACUGAGACACGAUCCAGCCCACUACGAGAGGGAGCAGAGUGGAAUAUUGGACAAUGGGCGCAAGCCUGAUCCAGCCAUACCGCGUGGGUGAAGAAGGCCUUCGGGUUGUAAAGCCCUUUUGUUGGGAAAGAAAAGCAGCAGGUUAAUACCCCGCUGUUCUGACGGUACCCAAAGAAUAAGCACCGGCUAACUUCGUG
Molecule: ribosomal RNA, 492 nt
Filed under: uncultured bacterium
Lineage: Bacteria
Description: partial 16S ribosomal RNA
Rfam family: Bacterial small subunit ribosomal RNA
Source: RNAcentral